RNAcentral lists this long non-coding RNA (408 nucleotides) under Solanum tuberosum (potato). Its description in RNAcentral is "long non-coding RNA (STUB_LNC002761)". Lineage: Eukaryota; Viridiplantae; Streptophyta; Magnoliopsida; Solanales; Solanaceae. The record is from RNAcentral.
AAAAAAAAAGUCAGAAAUUAGUAAUUCUUUUACGAUUUAAGGUUCGGUGGUGGUAUUAAUCCUGUUUUUGGGUUCAACCCACUGAAGGUUAGAUCAAAGAAGAUGAACUAAUUUCAACUAACCUGAGGUUAAAUGGAUGGAUUACCCUCUUUCCACAUAAUCUACACGAGCUUGGAUCCACAUGAAAUCUACGAGGAGAAAACUGAGCAAAAAGAUUGAAAUCAUUUGGCAUGGAUAGAUUGAGAUGAAUCUGAAUAGAAGUGAGUAGGCAAAAUACCAAAGGGUUUCAAGGGUAUACAAUUACGCCGAAUUGAAGUAGAGUUUCAGCUCCGAUUUGAUUAUGUAUCGAGGAAGAGGCGCUGCACCUGCAAGUACUCUUCAACUUCCACUUUCCUAAUUUUUUUUUUU